AAUCAACGCUGGCGGCGUGCCUCAGACAUGCAAGUCGAACGAUUAAAGCUCUCUUCGGAGAGUGCAUAAAGUGGCGCACGGGUGAGUAACACGUAAGUAAUCUACCUUCGAGUGGGGAAUAACGUCCGGAACGGACGCUAAUACCGCAUAACGCAGCGGCAUCGCGAGAUGACAGUUGUUAAAGAUUUAUCGCUUGAAGAGGAGCUUGCGGCAGAUUAGCUUGUUGGUAAGGUAACGGCUUACCAAGGCUACGAUCUGUAUCCGGUCUAAGAGGACGGUCGGACACACUGACACUGAAUAACGGGUCAGACUCCUACGGGA
This 321-nucleotide ribosomal RNA is filed under the name uncultured bacterium. Its description in RNAcentral is "bacterial SSU rRNA". It matches the Rfam family "Bacterial small subunit ribosomal RNA", at positions 32 to 346 of the family's 1533-position model. The record is from RNAcentral.